AAUAUUGCGCAAUGGAGGGAACUCUGACGCAGCGACGCCGCGUGAGUGAUGAAGGUCUUCGGAUCGUAAAGCUCUGUCCUUGGGGAAGAAGAUCUUCGGAUUUGACGGUACCCAAGGAGGAAGCCCCGGCUAACUACGUUCCAGCAGCCGCGGUAAUACGUAGGGGGCAAGCGUUGUCCGGAAUUAUUGGGCGUAAAGGGUGCGUAGGCGGCCAAUAAAGUCAGAGGUGAAAGCCCACGGCUCAACCGUGGUAAGCCUUUGAAACUUAAUGGCUUGAGUGCAGGAGAGGAGAGUGGAAUUCCUAGUGUAGCGGUGAAAUGCGUAGAUAUUAGGAGGAACACCAGUGGCGAAGGCGACUCUCUGGACUGUAACUGACGCUGAGGCACGAAAGCGUGGGGAGCAAACA
RNAcentral lists this ribosomal RNA (406 nucleotides) under uncultured bacterium. Its description in RNAcentral is "partial 16S ribosomal RNA". It matches the Rfam family "Bacterial small subunit ribosomal RNA", at positions 360 to 774 of the family's 1533-position model. The record is from RNAcentral.